Molecule: long non-coding RNA, 394 nt
Filed under: Cricetulus griseus (Chinese hamster)
Lineage: Eukaryota; Metazoa; Chordata; Mammalia; Rodentia; Cricetidae
Description: lncRNA (ENSCGRG00015034117.1)
Source: RNAcentral
UGAACACUGUAGGAGCCCAGGAAGUCGGUUCUGAGUGUUGAAUGGGUGACAUAUAUCUGGGACCAAGUACUGUGAGUCAGGGCUGAAGACUGUUUUCACAGAUGCCAUCGGGACACAGUCACUCAUUCUUGACCUUCUGAUACCUCCAUCAUGCUAAGAAGACGCUGGCAUGGCUGGAGGAUUCCUAUAAUUUAAAACUGUGAUUUUUACCAUCUCCUCACUCUCCACAGAGGUCAAGAGGCUAGAUAAACAACUUCCUACAGCUGCUACGACAUCGGGUGCGCAUCCGCAGCAGAAAGUGUGUGCCGUGGAGAUAAACACAUCAGAGACAGGGUUUUUCAUUGAUCUGGAGCUCACCAGUGAGGCUAGAAUGGUUGGCCACCAGGCUUCCAGC